Molecule: ribosomal RNA, 1230 nt
Filed under: metagenome
Description: bacterial SSU rRNA
Rfam family: Bacterial small subunit ribosomal RNA
Source: RNAcentral
UAACGGCCCAGCAAGGCAACGAUCAGUAGGGGUUCUGAGAGGAAGGUCCCCCACAUUGGAACUGAGACACGGUCCAAACUCCUACGGGAGGCAGCAGUGAGGAAUAUUGGUCAAUGGACGAGAGUCUGAACCAGCCAAGUAGCGUGCAGGAAGACGGCCCUAUGGGUUGUAAACUGCUUUUAUAAGGGAAUAAAGUGAGAGUCGUGACUCUUUUUGCAUGUACCUUAUGAAUAAGGACCGGCUAAUUCCGUGCCAGCAGCCGCGGUAAUACGGAAGGUCCGGGCGUUAUCCGGAUUUAUUGGGUUUAAAGGGAGCGUAGGCCGGAGAUUAAGCGUGUUGUGAAAUGUAGACGCUCAACGUCUGCACUGCAGCGCGAACUGGUUUCCUUGAGUACGCACAAAGUGGGCGGAAUUCGUGGUGUAGCGGUGAAAUGCUUAGAUAUCACGAAGAACUCCGAUUGCGAAGGCAGCUCACUGGAGCGCAACUGACGCUGAAGCUCGAAAGUGCGGGUAUCGAACAGGAUUAGAUACCCUGGUAGUCCGCACGGUAAACGAUGGAUGCCCGCUGUUGGUCUGAAUAGGUCAGCGGCCAAGCGAAAGCAUUAAGCAUCCCACCUGGGGAGUACGCCGGCAACGGUGAAACUCAAAGGAAUUGACGGGGGCCCGCACAAGCGGAGGAACAUGUGGUCCAAUUCAAUGAUACGCGAGGAACCUUACCCGGGCUUGAAUUGCAGAGGAAGGAUUUGGAGACAAUGACGCCCUUCGGGGCCUCUGUGAAGGUGCUGCAUGGUUGUCGUCAGCUCGUGCCGUGAGGUGUCGGCUUAAGUGCCAUAACGAGCGCAACCCCUCUCCUUAGUUGCCAUCAGGUUAAGCUGGGCACUCUGGGGACACUGCCACCGUAAGGUGUGAGGAAGGUGGGGAUGACGUCAAAUCAGCACGGCCCUUACGUCCGGGGCUACACACGUGUUACAAUGGCAGGUACAGAGAGACGGUCCCUUGCAAAACGGAUCAAAUCCUUAAAGCCUGUCUCAGUUCGGACUGGGGUCUGCAACCCGACCCCACGAAGCUGGAUUCGCUAGUAAUCGCGCAUCAGCCAUGGCGCGGUGAAUACGUUCCCGGGCCUUGUACACACCGCCCGUCAAGCCAUGAAAGCCGGGGGCGCCUAAAGUCCGUGACCGUAAGGAGCGGCCUAGGGCGAAACUGGUAAUUGGGGCUAAGUCGGAACAAGGUA